This 69-nucleotide transfer RNA is filed under the name Micrambe villosus. RNAcentral describes it as "tRNA-Gln". Lineage: Eukaryota; Metazoa; Arthropoda; Insecta; Coleoptera; Cryptophagidae. The record is from RNAcentral.
UAUAUUUUAGUAUAAGAGGUACAAGGAUUUUUGAUAUCCUAAGGAAUAGUUUGAUUCUAUUAGAUAUAU